UCUGAUGCAGCGACGCCGCGUGAAGGAUGAAGUAUUUCGGUAUGUAAACUUCUAUCAGCAGGGAAGAAAAUGACGGUACCUGACUAAGAAGCCCCGGCUAACUACGUGCCAGCAGCCGCGGUAAUACGUAGGGGGCAAGCGUUAUCCGGAUUUACUGGGUGUAAAGGGAGCGUAGACGGCACGGCAAGCCAGAUGUGAAAGCCUGGGGCUCAACCCCGGGACUGCAUUUGGAACUGCUGAGCUAGAGUGUCGGAGAGGCAAGUGGAAUUUCUAGUGUAGCGGUGAAUUGUGUAGAUUUCAGGAGUGUAAACAGAGGC
This 317-nucleotide ribosomal RNA is filed under the name uncultured organism. Its description in RNAcentral is "bacterial SSU rRNA". It matches the Rfam family "Bacterial small subunit ribosomal RNA", at positions 382 to 716 of the family's 1533-position model. The record is from RNAcentral.